RNAcentral lists this long non-coding RNA (1888 nucleotides) under Marmota monax (woodchuck). The record is from RNAcentral. Lineage: Eukaryota; Metazoa; Chordata; Mammalia; Rodentia; Sciuridae.
CUGUUUCUGAGCAUCCCGGGUGGGUGGUCUCCUCACACCCCUCCCAGGCUUCCUCCCACAAUGGUGACUCGUUGCUGACUGCAUCUGGAGCCUUUCGUCUUCCUGUUGUGGUGGGCAUUUGGUUACUUGCCUAUAUCUACAGCUGGGGAAUAGUGGAGACUGUGUUUGAAUGCAGACAGUUCAGAUCCCAAAUCUGUGCCCUGUAGACUGCGGUCCGUUUGCUGAACCCAUUGUUUGCUGUCCCCAGGGGAAGGCACAACGUUUGCAGCGAAUGAGAGCUCCGACAGGUUUUGCCUUGCAAAAGACAACAGAUGGCAGAACCAUCCAGCAGAAUUUGGUUCCCCUGAGCCCUGAUUCACCAGAUGCUAUUUUCGUGCCAUUUACGAGUAGAGCUACAAAAAUUGGCAUCAUGGAACCCGACAGUUAGAAGGAAACUUUGGCAUUGAUUCCUUUCUGCUGCCGGCUUGGGAGUCCAGGCUGUGGCAGCCAGCUCGUGGACCUUGGAGUCUGACCAGCUUGAUUUCAAAUCCCAGCUCUGCCGCUCAUGAGCUGUGUGACCUUGACAUGCCACACUAGCCUUCUGAGUCUGGGUUUCAUCCUGUGCAGAAAGCAGGUGGUUUUAAUGGGGCAAAACAGGGGAACUGCUUUGCGCAGUAUUUGACACAUAGUAGGCACUCAACAAAUACUAGUUUUUCUAAUGUUCUCUCUCAAUCCCGAGGUUGACUUUCAGUCAACUCUUGUGAGAAUUAUUUCAUUUUACCUAUAAGGCAGAUGUUCAAGGGAUGUGGAAAAUUCUCUUGAAGAUUUCAUAACCUUUAUUUCUAGAUUCUGUGCCAGAGAAGUGAGGCUCACUUUAUCCCACUAAAAAAGAAAAAGAAAUAAAACCACCUUCCACCUAGUGCACAGUAAAGCUGAGCUAUUCUAUGACUUAAUUAAAAGCUGCAGAAUAUCUUCCUAUCUGCCAAUGAAUGACAAUUAAAUAGAAGACUGUGUUCAGCUAUUUCAUUACCUGGUUAGGUAAUAUGCCCCCAAACAGCAGGCCUUAGUAAUUACUGUACACUUUUCUUAAAUGCCCUGUUUACUGAUUGUCUUAUAACCGGAUGAUACACAUACAUAAUUUUAUAUUUAUGGAUAAGAGCUCUUUCCUGACAACUUGAACAUCUAAAUUAUGCAACACAGAAUCAGAUAAUUGCAGAGAAACGUUUGUCGUCUGGCAUAUGGGAUCUCCAGGUAAGGAGCAUAAUUAUACAGUAUCUGUUUGGAAUCAAUAGAAGGUGGGUGCCUGAUGCUAAUCGGGUAUCUUUCCAUCAUCUCCUUGUUUUUAAAAGUGAAAUUCAAAUAUGAGGAAUGUUGUCUGCUUUUGACAACUCUUAUCACAUGUCCAUGCCCUCGCUUUCAUAACCCGACAUUCUUGGAGCCUGUGGGUACAGAUGAGCAUGCUCAGUGAAGGAAGUCAUUUUUAAAAGACUUUCCACCAAUUUUUGCUUCUUCCUUAUUUUGAUAAAAGGUCUGGCCGGUGAGAUUGUCAAAGGACUCAGGUGCAGGCUCUCGGUGAACUCUAUUCCUCAGGCACCAGUCAUUGGCUCUGUGGGUGGUCACGUGACCUUUGCAGAGACCAAUCACAUUCUUCCCUGGGAUUCAUAGAUGCUAUGGGAAAGUCACUUUUCCUUUUAGCGGUAAAAAUAAAGGAGAAUGUAAAGUUGAAAGUGCUUGCUGUUCUUUUUUUCUGACAGGUGAAAAAGGGGAAUGUCUGCUAUAGUUGAAUGCCUACUGUGUGCUAGAUAUUGUGCAAAGCACUUUCCUCUCUAUAAUGGAAAAUAUGAAGGUACAGAGCCAAGGAGAGAAAAGAGAGGUGAGAAAUAGAUGAAUAGAAGGUUGAGAAAGUGAA